CCCAGGAGAUGGACAAAAUGUGAAAGAAAGGAUUUCUAUGAAAAAAUGUCUGUGACAAUCCCCAACAGCUGACUCGGUGGUUUUUGUGGUGUUUUUUCCGUGGCAGGACGAGGCGGGGGCCGAGAAGGAGAACAGCUCGGUGCUGCAGCAGAGCAGCUCCCUGGCGGGCAGCAGGAACGGCGACGAGAACGUCAUCGACAACCCCUACCUGAGGCCCGUCAAGAAACCCAAAAUCCGCAGGAAGAAGUGAAGGAAACGGUUCCCGAAAUUCCCCUCAGGAGGGGUCUCUGGGCCCACUCCCACCCUGCUCUCCCUCUGCUCACUGCCCUGGGCCAGGAGAACCCUUGGGAAUGGUCCGGGGGGCUUCGGGCUCUGCUCUGGGGGGAUUUCAUUGCUGAGGGGCUGAGAGAGCCAGGGCUUGGAGGGGCUGGGGGACACAGGGAUGGGAUUUGGAUUUAGAGGACACAGGAAUUGGAUUUGAAUUUGGAUUUGGAGGACACAGGGGUUGGGAUUGGGUUUGGAUUUGGAGGACCCAGCCUUUAUUUCCCCCCUUUAUUCCCUUUAUUAUUUCCUCCCUUUAUUCCCUUUAUUUCCCCCCUUUAUUUCCUCCCUUUAUUUCCCCCCUUUAUUUCCUGCCUUUAUUCCCUUUAUUUUCCCCCUUUAUUCCCUUUAUUUCCCCCCUUUAUUCCCUUUAUUUCCCCCUUUAUUUCCCCCCUUUAUUCCCUUUAUUUCCUUCAUUUAUUUCCUCCCUUUAUUUCCUUUAUUUCCCCCCUUUAUUUCCCCCUUUUAUUCCCUUUAUUCCCUUUAUUUCCCCCCUUUAUUUCCUCCCUUUAUUUCCUUUAUUUCCCCCCUUUAUUUCCUCCCUUUAUUUCCACAUCACUCUUGUCAUUAUUUGCUGCUUCUGGAGGGCUUUGCUUUCAUUUCCCUUCAGCAUUUUCUUAUAGAAAAUAAAGAAGAAAAAUCUUCUUCA
This 970-nucleotide long non-coding RNA is filed under the name Zonotrichia albicollis (white-throated sparrow). RNAcentral describes it as "lncRNA (ENSZALG00000003177.1)". Lineage: Eukaryota; Metazoa; Chordata; Aves; Passeriformes; Passerellidae. The record is from RNAcentral.